This 222-nucleotide non-coding RNA is filed under the name Ruegeria meonggei. The record is from RNAcentral. Lineage: Bacteria; Pseudomonadati; Pseudomonadota; Alphaproteobacteria; Rhodobacterales; Roseobacteraceae.
CGCUAGCGAUUGGGGGAUGGUUCUCGUCCCCGGUCCCCGGGGCGGGAUGAAAAGGGAACACGGUGCGGUCCACACCGGCAAUGCCGGAACGGAUCAAAGCCGCGACUGCCCCCGCAACUGUGAGCGGUGAGCAAUGCCGAAACACCACUGGCCCCAAGGCUGGGAAGGUCGGCAAAGCGAUGAUCCGCAAGUCAGGAGACCUGCCAUCCAAACGAAACCGAA